This 253-nucleotide ribosomal RNA is filed under the name uncultured bacterium. RNAcentral describes it as "partial 16S ribosomal RNA". It matches the Rfam family "Bacterial small subunit ribosomal RNA", at positions 524 to 776 of the family's 1533-position model. The record is from RNAcentral.
UACGGAGGGGACUAGCGUUGUUCGGAAUUACUGGGCGUAAAGCGCACGUAGGCGGACCGAAAAGUUGGAGGUGAAAUCCCAGGGCUCAACCUUGGAACUGCCUUCAAAACUGCCGGUCUAGAGUUCGAGAGAGGUGAGUGGAAUUCCGAGUGUAGAGGUGAAAUUCGUAGAUAUUCGGAGGAACACCAGUGGCGAAGGCGGCUCACUGGCUCGAUACUGACGCUGAGGUGCGAAAGCGUGGGGAGCAAACAGG